RNAcentral lists this ribosomal RNA (809 nucleotides) under uncultured archaeon. RNAcentral's name for it is "bacterial SSU rRNA". It matches the Rfam family "Archaeal small subunit ribosomal RNA", at positions 85 to 879 of the family's 1478-position model. The record is from RNAcentral.
ACGGCUCAGUAACACGUAGUCAACCUGCCCUCGGGACGAGAACAACCCUGGGAAACUGGGGGUAAUUCUCGAUAGGCGCAGUGGCCUGGAAUGGUACUGCACCUAAAGGACUUUAGGAACAUGCUCUUAGAGUCGCCCUAGGAUGGGACUGCGGCCGAUCAGGUUGUUGGUGGGGUAACGGCCUACCAAGCCUAUAACCGGUACGGGCCCUGAGAGGGGGAGCCCGGAGAUGGGAACUGAGACAAGGUCCCAGGUCCUACGGGGCGCAGCAGGCGCGAAAACUCCACAAUGUGCGAAAGCAUGAUGGGGUUAACCCGAGUGCCAUCCGAUGAGGACGGCUUUUCUUCAGUUUAAGGAUCUGGAGGAAUAAAGGGGGGGCAAGACUGGUGUCAGCCGCCGCGGUAAUACCAGCCCCCUGAGUGGUAGGGACGAUUAUUUGGCCUAAAGCGUCCGUAGCCUGUUUGGUAAGUCUUUCGUUAAAUCCGACGAUUCCAUCGUUGGGCCGCGGAAGAGACUGUCAGACUUGAGGACGGGAGAGGUCGACGGUAGUCCCAGGGUAGGGGUGAAAUCCUAUAAUCCUGGAGGACCACCAGUGGCGAAGGCGGUCGACUAGAACGUGCCUGACGGUGAUGGACGAAAGCUGGGGGAGCGAACCGGAUUAGACACCCGGGUAGUCCCAGCUGUAAACGAUGCGAGCUAGGUGUUGGAGCAACUACGAGUUGCUCCAGUGCCGCAGAGAAGUUGUUAAGCUCGCCGCCUGGGAAGUACGGCCGCAAGGCUGAAACUUAAAGGAAUUGGCGGGGGAGCAC